This 483-nucleotide ribosomal RNA is filed under the name uncultured bacterium. Its description in RNAcentral is "partial 16S ribosomal RNA". It matches the Rfam family "Bacterial small subunit ribosomal RNA", at positions 28 to 523 of the family's 1533-position model. The record is from RNAcentral.
GACGAACGCUGGCGGCGUGCUUAACACAUGCAAGUCGAACGAUGAAGCUGGAGCUUGCUCCGGUGGAUUAGUGGCGAUCGGGUGAGUAACACGUGAGCAAUCUGCCCUUCACUCUGGGAUAACUGCGGGAAACUGUAGCUAAUACCGGAUACGAGACCUUGGGGCAUCCCAGGGUCUGGAAAGAAUUUCGGUGAAGGAUGAGCUCGCGGCCUAUCAGCUAGUUGGUGAGGUAAUGGCUCACCAAGGCGACGACGGGUAGCCGGCCUGAGAGGGUGACCGGCCACACUGGGACUGAGACACGGCCCAGACUCCUACGGGAGGCAGCAGUGGGGAAUAUUGCACAAUGGGCGAAAGCCUGAUGCAGCAACGCCGCGUGAGGGAUGAAGGCCUUCGGGUUGUAAACCUCUUUUAGUAGGGAAGGAGCGCAAGUGACGGUACCUACAGAAAAAGCACCGGCUAACUACGUGCCAGCCGCCGCGGUAA